This is a long non-coding RNA of Topomyia yanbarensis, 2280 nucleotides long. RefSeq lists it as uncharacterized. NCBI's taxonomy places the organism in Eukaryota, Metazoa, Arthropoda, Insecta, Diptera, Culicidae. The record is from RefSeq and is a predicted model, not a curated record. The transcript is spliced from 3 exons.
AUAAAACUGGAAACGCUGUUCGAUCAAAGUAUGCUGAAAUUUUCAUUUCUUUGUUUUCAUUUUAUAGUGACAAGUUCAGUAGUAGAAGAAAAAUUAAUUAUCACGGAAUUUUGAAAAAUAAUUAAUCCUCUUGUAUUUUUGGAUAUACAAAACGGCGAUGUACACGGUAUGGAUUCUAGUUGCAUUUCCCGCUCACUUAUUUAUGUACUUUGUCACUUCUACAGUUAAGUAGCCUCAUUACUGCCACAGCUCCGGCGGGUGUAGUUUCUGCGAUGGCUUAUGUACAUGACCCUUUCGACACGUGUUAGCCGUUACGGAAGAACGAAAGGUACAAAUCAGGUGCGCCCUGACGAAGCUGAACUCCCCCAUCGCCUCGCUAGUACAAUCUAGCUACAUUACUUGUGACAAAUGCCGCACAACACUCAUACAGCAGCUACUUAUUUCCGAGAGCUACUUUCAGAUUCGACCCAGCUAAGAAGAAUGAGUGAUCAGAUAUCGAAAACGCAUGCUGAUGAAUUACCACAUUUUUCUUUGGAACCGAAACCCGAAAUGCGCAUCAGGGGAGCAAAUGAGAAGAUUUACGUUAUUGGCGGGAUGGGAGAGGAAAAAGUUUAAAUGAGUGAGUUGCAGAGCGUUUUCGUCGAUUUUAUGGAUCCGGAUCACAAGAUAAAACAAAGUAAUUUGGGACUUGAUGACGCGGCUAAAGGAGGAUUGUUCAUUACCCAUUCGGCAUCGAUGUCCACAUUGUAAUAAAGGGUUUGCCGACAAGUACCUGAUAACAACGCACAUCCAAUGGCACACGGGAGAAAAGCCCUUUAAAUGUGAAUUUUGUGGAAAAGGAUUUUGCGAAAACCAAAAACUUACUCUACACGUGCAGACCCACACAGGUGAACACCUUUCUGCUUGAAAACAUUCACUCAAUCGAUAACGCUUAAGAUACACAUCAGGGUGCACACCCGGAGAACUCCGUACGUGUGCGAAUACUGCGACCGAGGGUUCACUCAAUCCUAUAAUUUGUGAACCCAACACAAUCAUAACGGUGUACCGAGGAUGCGAAGUCGGCGUGCUGACCGAGCACAAAUUUCGAGUACAUGUCAAGGUCUACCGAUCAGCGAAAAGUUUCUGGCUGCACGAGAAGUUGCAUGCCACCGAGAAACUGUUCGAUUGUCGCGAUUGUGGUAUAAAGUAUACCUAUGUGCACAAAUGCAAGGCUUCUAAGGCCGUAGUGAAGGAGAAGAUGUAUUUGUGUAAAAUCUGCAGCCAAACAUUCAAGCAUCAGCAGAGCGUCGUGUACCACAUGAGCGACAAACACAGGCGAUUCGACAGAAAUUUGAGAGAUCUAGAGAAGGACGAAGAAUAGGCGAUUUGCGGAAGCUGAAAUAACGUUCUCGUUCCUGAAUUGUUAAAGCUACCAAUUACAACCAAGGUUACCGGGUAACCUAAGCAAUUUGCCCUCGGCAUGUUUUUGGCAAGUGGUGAUGAUAGUGUACGCGUUUUUUGGCAGUAUUUGACGCACCAGUAUUAGUAGCGUAAAUAUCCAGUUACACACGCAAAUCAGUUGACCACGGAUUUCCUUGCGCUUCCGAAGGAGAAUUGGCAGACACUUCGUGUGACGGAUCUACAGUUCCUUUUGCGCCGCUUUGGACCUUGGACUCAGCUAUGCAGCCAAACCGCAUCGCGCUAGCUUCGUCCAUAGCGCACCUCUCAUAUUCUAUGCAAGAUGUGUCUAUCCGAAAUCGUUCUAUGACUCCCCUACCAUAGACAGGGGUUACCCAUUUUGAGCCUCAUUUCAACGAUUGUAGGCCUGGCAUACUUAAAAUGAUUUUUUAUUCAUGCACAUUUGUGAGACACACACCUCUAUCUUGAGUGGCGUGUGAAGCGACUAAUCUUACUAUACACUACGUGACACUCCUCAUCCGAUUCUGAGAGUCAAAUUGAGAGAGGUGGGCUUUCCUAUUGCAACUAAAUAAACGUUUGUAACCCGAAGUAACUCUUCAGAAUCAGGUGAGAAAAAUCGUUUUCUCUGAUAGGAGAUAUGGCGUCUCACAUCAAACGCCAUGCAGGAUAAAGAAGACCUGGUACCAUAUUUUUAAAAUUUAUUUAAAUGCACCAUCCGGUGCUACACGUGGUUAAUGGUUAAGGUGCAGAGAACUAUGAACUGAGACCGGAACUUGAUCCGAACCACGUUACACGUUGCAGUGCUUCAAAAAUAAGCAAACGGCCUGGAGGAUCGUGACGAAUUAAUGUUUUUUUAAAAGUCUCUAAUAAAAAUUAAGUAAG